RNAcentral lists this long non-coding RNA (1613 nucleotides) under Salmo trutta (river trout). Its description in RNAcentral is "lncRNA (ENSSTUG00000003214.1)". The record is from RNAcentral. Lineage: Eukaryota; Metazoa; Chordata; Actinopteri; Salmoniformes; Salmonidae.
UGGCAGUUAGCCUAGAGACCUUGAAUUCUUGUAGCUUGUGUGUAAUCCUGAUUUGUGAACCUGGCAGAGAAGAUGUGUGUGUUGUCCAGGGAAAGCUGGAGAAGUCUGUUCCUAUGCAUGAGCUGGCUCUGGACAUCAGGGAGAAGAGUUUUGGACCCAAACACCCCAGUAUGGCCACAGCAUUGGUCAACCUGGCUAUACUCUGCUGCUAAGUGCUGAGAGGACCAAAAACGCUAACAGUUCACUGCAUACCAGUCACGGGUUCAAAUACUUGAAAAAUCCUUUCAAAUACUUGAGUUUGCCAGGAAUGCCAGAUGUACGGGGUUUGCAGUUUUGGGUCUUGUAUUGGUUUAUUAAGACAGGCAAGCUCAAACAGGCACAGAUAAGGUGUUUGAAAUGAUUUUUCACAUUAAACCCAGGUCUGAUGCAUGCAUAUUAGGGAAAGAUGGGAACUGUUGGAAAGCAUACAGCAUACAGCAUGUGUAUGGUUUGAUUUGAUUCCCCAGGUUAAUUGGACUUCAAAUGGAAAUUCAGACUGUUUCUCCUGGAUUCUGUCUGGACAUUGGUCUGACUGUGUGUUAUUGUGUGUCUGACAGAGAAAGCACAGUGAGACGCUGCCCCUGUAUAAACAGGCUAUGAGAGUGUGUGAGGACAAUCUGGGACGCUCACACCCACAGGUCGGAGAGACGCUGAAGAACCUAGCUGUACUCAGCUAUGUGGAGGAAAGCAGCAGAGCUCAACAAUCCAUGGAGAUCAAAGAGGCAGAGCAGUCUCUGGUUUGUGGAAGGCCCCGUGUCGACACUCGUCCAGUGGGGACAUGUUUAGCCUGCGAGGGCCCACACCUCUCCCACAUGCCCCCAGAAAUGCAUUGGUGGAGAAGGUCAGAGGGAGGGAACUUGCAUAUUCUCCUCGAAUGCAUUUUCAGGAGGUGGAAAGGAUAGAGGACAUGAAGAAUCAAGGAAGUACAAUUGAAGGCCAUCCAUGGUUCACAAUCUGCAUUCCUGAGAAGAACAACGACCAUCACACUCUGAAUAGUUCGUUAUGCUGCUUUGAGAUGGAACAGUGUAGUGGUGUCGCCUGUCAAGAGUACUGUAGCUAACUUAUAAAAUAAGAAUUAUGCUUUAAUGUCUAUUCAAUGGCUAUAUUGUUAAGUGUUCAAAAAAUAAAUAUAUAUUAUAAAUGUAUGAUGUAACGUCUGCUUCCAGCUCACACUCUCAAACACAUAGAUCCCCUGAGCACAGCUCACUCUCCAGAUCCCAAUCACCGGAAUUCUGAUCACCUGUUCACACACCUGUAUGUCAUUAUCACAUACUAUUUAGUUCAGUUCUUUGCACCCAAUCAUUGUAGGUAUUGUUUGUUUUGUGACACAUGUCUAGCCUGGAGCGUUGGGUUUCCUGUAAUCUACUCCUCCCAUGUAUGAUUUUUUUUUUUGUCUCACUAACAACACCUAUUCCCUGCCUGUACUUUCCUGUUAUCAACCUAUUGCCUGAUCUCCUGGAUGAUGUUAAUAGCCUUUUCCCUGCCUUUACUGUUGCCUUUUUGGACCCCCUGUGUAUGACCCGCUGCCUGACCCUGGACCCAGCUACCUGCCUCCUCCUGUGGUCCUUUACAAU